AGUGGUACGUGAGCUGGGUUCAGACCGUCGUGAGACAGGUCGGUCCCUAUCUGCUGUGGGCGCACGAAACUUGAGGAGGAUCUUCUUUAGUACGAGAGGAUUUAGAAGGACGAACCUCUGGUGUCCCAGUUGUCACGCUAGUGGCACGGCUGGAUAGCUAAGUUCGGAAAGGAUAAACGCUGAAAGCAUCUAAGCGUGAAGCCCUCUCCAAGAUUAGGUUUCGUAGCAAUAGCGAAAGUCCCCUGGUAGACUACCAGGUUGAUA
RNAcentral lists this unclassified non-coding RNA (264 nucleotides) under Hevea brasiliensis (rubber tree). It matches the Rfam family "Bacterial large subunit ribosomal RNA", at positions 2592 to 2858 of the family's 2925-position model. Lineage: Eukaryota; Viridiplantae; Streptophyta; Magnoliopsida; Malpighiales; Euphorbiaceae. The record is from RNAcentral.